AAUCGAAAAAUGAGGAAAUGACGAAAAACCUUUGCGAAACCACGAAAACUUAAUUUGUUGGGCUCGGGCCCAAAGAAAAAUGUAAAUACUCGGCCCAGUUGUAUUAUUUACCCUACAAACUACAGAAAAAACCUAAGUAAAAACCUAAUUCUUCCCCCUUUUCACUUCUCGACUUCUUCCUCUUCUCUCCGUCGUCGUCUUCUCUUCUCUCGUCUCCGACGACACCACCAAUUUCAGUUCGUCUUUGUCUCUUUCAUAUGGCUAGAGUAAAAGACUCAUCUGGAGAAUAUGAAUCAACAGAAGAGGAAGCCGGAGAAAUUCAGCCUACAACCGGCGAUUGUGACGCCGCCGAUUUGGGUAAUUCAAACGCCGUCGCAUGGGAAUCAAAUGACGAUCUUUCAGACCCAAAUGCCGAUUCUUGUGCAGAAGAAGAAGAGGCAACGAAUGCAGUUGUUCAACAUGAUGAUGGAGCAAAUAAGGUAUGAUAGAAGACCGUUAUUUUUUUGAUUAGGCUCGUUUUAGGAUAUUAUGCAUGCAUUGGUAAAUGAUUGGAUUUGUGAAUGGUGCUUCAGAUAAAACAAGUAGUACAACUAGGUCGUAAAUUUGUGAAUGGUCAUUCAGGAACAAGUAGUACAACUAGGUAGUUAAUGUGAAAUUGAAAGUAUUUUGAAUUGAAUAUGCAGGAUGAUGGUGAUGAUGAUAACCUGCCGCAGAAUAUGCAGGAUGGUGAUGAUGAUCUUCAGCCGCAGAAUAUGCAGGAUGAUGAUGAUGAUGAUGAUGAUAAUCAACCAUUGCCGCCAGAAGUUAUGUACUUUGAUCCAACUACCUACACGAAGGUGUGUAAGAUAGGAACGAGGUGUCAGUUGGUACAAACAGUGGAAUUUAUAGAGACUUUGGAUGCAGAACUGAAGUGGUUUAAGAAUCAUGACCAAUUUAAGCACAUAUUCCACAUGCCUAAGGAGCCCAAUCACAUGAUUCAAGGCAUGUGGAUGCUUAUGGUUCGCACGGCUAAGACAGAAUUGGCGAGAGAGUGUUGGUUUGUUGUCAAUGGAGUACCUAUAAGGUACUCAAUUAGAGAGCAUGCAUUGUUGACCGGUUUGAACUGCCGUGAGUACCCAAAAAACUAUAAGACUUUAGGCAGUUUGAAGUUUGUUGAGAAGUUGUUUAAGAGGACUGAGGACAUCAAGAUUAAAGACGUGGAAGAGAAGCUGGAAGAGUUUAAGAGUGAGAAGUCUACUGCUAGGUUGAAGUUGACAAUUCUGUUAUUCUUAGCUAAGGUUAUGAAAGCUGAUUCUAAAGGGGAUUCGAAGAUAGAGGAGUUGCUUCUUAGGAUUGUGGAUAAUGUCAGAGCUUGUGAGACAUUCCCGUGGGGACGUUUUUCUUUUGAGCAGUGUAUGGAAGGGGUGCGGAGAGUAAUGAAGAACAUGAAAGGUGUGGUGAAACCCAAGGCACAAACUGCUUUUUAUGGAUUUAUUACUCCACUUGAGGUAAGUAGUCGAGUAAAUUAUAUGAGUGGCUAGAUUUUGUUAUUGUGAACUUGCAUUUACUUUUAUGUUUUUGUGUCUAGAUUCUGGCAUUUGAGUGCAUUCCGCAGCUUGGGAAGAGAUUUAGAGAAGCUGUACCUGCAGACAAGGAAUGUCCAAGAAUGUGCAAGCACAAGUUCAGUGAAAGUUGCAUGAAGGGAUUUACUUUGGAAGAAAUAAAUGAAGCACUUGGAGAUAUAACGGUUAGCUUUGUUCUCUUGAAAUCUAUGUUUAUAAUCUUUGUGGUGUUUGAAAUAUAUGUUUACUUGACAGGAUAUUUCAAGCAUCUUGGAACCUGAUAUGGAUGAGAGAAAAAUGUUGUCACGCGUUGUAGAGAAGCAUGUUGAUGAUGGUAUUGGAUAUAUCGAUCCGAUUGUUGAUAGUUGGAGAGAGGCUUAUCGUAGAGAAAAAGAAGAUUUUCUGGCGUAGUCUCUACCAAGCGGACAUUGAUGUAGACGUAUUGAAACUGUUGAUGAUGUUCCAGCUGUACCUGAACCUGAAAUCCCUGGGACAUCGAUUCUCUCGUUCAAGGAAGCUAUGGAGAGAGGAUUUGACAAGCUCACGGACAAGCUUGCUGUGAUGGAUAGCGAAAUCAAGCGGAUUUGUGUGAGAGUACAAGGAAUAGAGGAAUAUGUGGCAGAUCAGCUUGAGAAAGAGGCAGAAAAAGACAAAUAUGAAGAUAUGCGUCCUGGUUCAGCUGCUGAUUUUGUGCCACCGUCUUAUCAGCCAAGGGAUACUCAGAGCAAGGCCUUGGUUAUUCACAGUGGAAUCCGUGACCCAGCACCUCCAACUAUUGAGUCUCUAAGUGAGUUUUUGUUGAACUUUUGUGUAGUGAUGCUUUCACAAUAGUUCUUAGAUGUUUGGUUACAUAUUUUUGUAGGUGAUGGCAGCGAUGAGUCCGAUGAAGAGGAUAAGAAGAAGAAGAAGAAGAAGCAGAUAUCGAAGAAGAAGAGAAAGCAUGUUGGUCCUACUCUGGAAUCUGGGGAAAAACGUGGAAGGAAACCUUCCAAGUAUAAGGGGGAAGAGUUUACAACUGAGGGGAAGCAAACGAGAAAGAGACAGAAGAAUUAGGACUUUGAAAAUUCUUUCUUGCUUAUGUGUGUGUGUGGACUCUUAGGUGUCUGUCAAAAUAGGACUUUCUUUUUGUGUAUUUGGGAAUGUUAUGCGUAGUUUAUGUGUAGAGGACAAACUUAUUUUCUGAAAUGGUUUAUGUGUGUUAGGAUUUUAUUAAAAUCAAAACGUUUGGCUAAGUUGUCCCGGUUGGCCGGUCAAUAAUACAAGAGUAGCUAAGUUGUCCCAGUUGGCCGGUCAAUACACAUAACUUAAAAUACAAGAGUAGCUAAGUUGUCCCAGUUGGCCGGUCAAUACACAACUUAAAAUACAAGAGUAGCUAAGUUGACCCAGUUAGCCGGGACACCCAGAGACAGAGUAGCUCGUCAGCUCUUCAAGCUCCUUAGCUCGUCCUCAAGCUCCUCAGUUCGUCCUCAAAGCUCCUCAGCUCGUCUUCAAGCUCUUCCCAUCACAGCGACCAUCUCCUCGCCUAGCUGUCAGCUAGUCAGCUCGUCCGACUCCUCGUCUAGCUAUCAGCUCAUCCCUCAACUACAAAACUCAUCUACCUCCUCGCCUAGCGGCAGUUCGUCCAUUGACUGCAUAGUCCACCUAUCUCGUCGCCCAGCUCGUCUAUACCUUCAGCAGACAACUCGGUUUGUCCAAUUCGCCUCUCUACCACGGUUCAUCCAGCUCGUCCGAGCUCACUUAUUCUAAUAUGAACUACGUGUGGCUUGAUCCCAUUUUUCGUACUUGUGUGAUUCGUGCAUCAACAUUUUCGUACACAUAACUUAAAAUACAAGAGUAGCUAAGUUGUCCCACUUGGCCGGUCAAUACACAACUUAAAAUACAAGAGUAACAUAUUUAGGUUCAAAUGUCAUACACCAUCCUCAAUAACAUAAAUCACAUCAUAAUCACCAUGUAGAAAGUAAUGCCCUAAGCCUAUCAAUCUCGACUUCUUUGGCGAGUAACCUUUCUUUAAGGGUUUCAAUUUCGCCUUGCAUGAGAUGAAUAGUUUCCCGGAUGGACUCCAAAGCAUGAUUGCAUGCUAGUUGUCCAUGUCUUAGUGCGGAAUCAAGUUUGUGAUUUACCUUCUCAAGCUCCUCAGUUACCGCCUGAUCCCACCACUGAAUAAGGUGGUUUCGGGACUCGUACUCUUCAGCCUGCGAAAGAGAGAAGACUUCAUAAAUAUAAUUCACUUGUACUUUGUUGUUCCAAUGAAAUGAAAACACAAUAACUUACUUUAAGCAUUGGGCAUUUGUAGACUCUGUCGCCUUGCCUGUAACCAGUUUUGCACACUUCAAGUUUUACAGGCUUACCACAAAAACAUUUUUCUGGAACCCCCCAAUUUGCAUCGGCAUUCGCCUCUCCACUAUUCCAACUAGCUUCGGACGUGGAUGGUUGAGAGUAACUAUAGGGCAUCUACAGAACAGAGAAAGAAAGAGAUAUGAAUCAUGAACGCUAUAAACCCUAGAUCUACUAAUUACGGCGGCUAGAAACCCGUAAGAAAGCCUAGAUCUACUAAUUACGGCGGCUAGAAACCCGUAAGAAACCCUAGAUCUACUAAUUACGGCGGCUAGAAACCCUUUAGAAGAAGAGAGAAGAACGAGAGAGAGGAAGAACUCCAGUGCAUGUAAUACCUUGGUUGUCGACAGCUAGGCGAGGAGAUGGUCGCUGUGAUGGGAAGAGCUUGAAGACGAGCUGAGGAGCUUUGAGGACGAUCUGAGGAGAGAAGUGAAGAAGAGAGAAGAACGAGAGAAGCGAAAUAGAAGAGAGAGUGAGAAUAAAUAGGUAGAAACUUUGUAGUGUGAACGCAAUAAUCGUAGUGUGAACGCGACUUCGUGGGGUCUAUUUUUAAAAAA
RNAcentral lists this small RNA (4432 nucleotides) under Arabidopsis thaliana (thale cress). RNAcentral's name for it is "ATSL231240". Lineage: Eukaryota; Viridiplantae; Streptophyta; Magnoliopsida; Brassicales; Brassicaceae. The record is from RNAcentral.